AUUGAACGCUGGCGGCAGGCCCAACACAUGCAAGUCGAGCGGUAGCACAGAGAGCUUGCUCUCGGGUGACGAGCGGCGGACGGGUGAGUAAUGUCUGGGAAACUGCCUGAUGGAGGGGGAUAACUACUGGAAACGGUAGCUAAUACCGCAUAAUGUCGCAAGACCAAAGUGGGGGACCUUCGGGCCUCAUGCCAUCAGAUGUGCCCAGAUGGGAUUAGCUAGUAGGUGGGGUAACGGCUCACCUAGGCGACGAUCCCUAGCUGGUCUGAGAGGAUGACCAGCCACACUGGAACUGAGACACGGUCCAGAAUCCGACGGGAGGCAGCAGUGGGGAAUAUUGCACAAUGGGCGCAAGCCUGAUGCAGCCAUGCCGCGUGUGUGAAGAAGGCCUUCGGGUUGUAAAGCACUUUCAGCGGGGAGGAAGGCGUUAAGGUUAAUAACCUUGGCGAUUGACGUUACCCGCAGAAGAAGCACCGGCUAACUCCGUGCCAGCCGCCGCCGUAA
This 504-nucleotide ribosomal RNA is filed under the name uncultured bacterium. Its description in RNAcentral is "partial 16S ribosomal RNA". It matches the Rfam family "Bacterial small subunit ribosomal RNA", at positions 29 to 523 of the family's 1533-position model. The record is from RNAcentral.